Long non-coding RNA from Piliocolobus tephrosceles (Ugandan red Colobus), 2566 nucleotides. NCBI's taxonomy places the organism in Eukaryota, Metazoa, Chordata, Mammalia, Primates, Cercopithecidae. The record is from Ensembl.
GUUCAUAAAUCGUAGUAGUGGUAAGUGCUGGGAAAAGUUUAUAUUAAAAGCCAAGAUUAGAAAAAGAAAUAAAAAAUAUGGUAAAAUAAUAAAUGAAUUAAUUAUUGACAACAUUAUUGGCACUAUAGAAAUACAAAAUGAGCUGUUUUUAUUUGUAGUAGAAAAAUGGAAAUUAUUAUGUAAAUUUUUUUAUUUAAAUAAAUAUAGAAACAUAUAUAAAAUUGAAAGAGUAUAUUAUGUACCAUAUAAUAUGAAUAUGGUAUCAGUGAACACAGCUAUAAAUAAUUCUCUGAAUAUUGAUGAUAAUACAACUAAUUAUUUUAUUAAUAGUAUGAAUGAUAAUGAAGAUAUUAAUAAUAAAUUUGUAGUAUUAAAUAAUUGUGACAAUGUUAAUAAUUAUAACAACAACAUUCGUUAUAAUAGUGUUAGUACGGGUAGUGCUAUUGCUAAUACAACUGCAAAUGCAACUACAAGUGCAACUGCAAGUGCUUUAAGUAACGACUAUAACAUUAAUCACGUUUUUGAUUUUAUGUAUAAAAAUAAUUAUCCUGUGAAACUCUCUAAUAAUAAUAUAGAAGUAUGCAAAAAAAAAAAUGAUAAUAUUCAUCAAGUUGAAACAGAUGAUAAAUUAAUAAAUGAUAAAAAAAAAAAGGAGUUAUACGAUAAUAAAAAUGACAUGGAUAGGGAGGUGAGUAUACAACAAGGGACAGUUACGGAAGAAGGUAGUUCCGAUUACAAGUGUCAUGUACGUAAUGUGUUGAAUAAGUAUGACGUCGCGUCGAAUAAUACAGGCAUUAACAGUCCUAACUCACAUUCGGACUCAUUUGAUAAUGAGUUUGAUACCACUUAUAACAAUGUAUGUUAUAAAAAAGAGACAUGGCCUGACGAAUUGGAACUAAACGAAGGAAUAUUCGAACGGCAUUUCACUAAAGAUAAUACUAACAAUAGAAGUAGCAGUGGCAAUAACAGAAUAAGUAGCAGUAUUAACAAAAAAGUAGAAAAAAAUAAAAAAACAUUAACAUUUAAUACAGCAAAAAAAUGGUUAACAAACCAGUUAAAUCAUAAGAAUAUACUUAACAUAUUAUCAGAUAUAACUAAUUAUGAUGUUAAAAAUGUAAAUGAAAAUGAUGAUAGUUCAUCAUUUAAGCCAAAAAAAAACAGACAAGAAAACAGUUACGGUACAGAUGAAAAUAAAGACAAUACGGACGAUGAUAGUAGUAGUAGUAGUAGUAGUAAUAAUAAUAAUACUCGCUUGUAUAACUUAGAUAAGAUAAAGAUGGAAAAAACGUAUAGAGAAUAUACAUCAGGAAGAAGACAAUACAACAGUACUAAAACUGAGAAAGUUAAUUUAGUUGAAAAUGAAUAUGCAUAUACAAACCAGAGUAAUAACGAUAAAUUACAAGAACAAAAUUUACUAUCGCCAAAAAUGAAUACUAAUCUGUUUUUUUAUAAUGAUAAUAUUAGGACCCAUGCCAACAACGACUUUUUUAGCGAUACGAUUAACACUACAUAUGUAAAGAAUAAAGAGUAUGGUACACCGAAUGAUAUUAUAAAAACACAUACACAAAAUAAUAUACAGUCAUAUGAUAACAAAAACGAACAAAAUAAAUUUGAAAAAGGAAUAGAAAGCAUGAAAAGAGAAUGUGAAAAUAAAAAAAGUGAUUAUAGUUUUGACCUCUUUGAUAUUAAUGACUAUUUUGAUAAAAACAAUAAUGUAAUAGAUGAAAAUAAUAAUUUGCAACCGAAGAUAGUUAAUGAGAAUGAAAAAAAAAUAAAAAAUUUGGAUAUGGGAGAAGUUAAUUAUAGUUUAGUUGACGAAACAAAUGUAACUAAUGAGAGUGUGAAAAAUGAAGUGAAGAGUAGUAGUAUUGAAGAUUAUAAAAUGAAUAAUGCUCAUUUUAAUGUUGAACCGGUAGGCGUUGAACCGGCGGGCAUUGAACCGGUAGGCGUUGAACCGGUAGGCGUUGAACCGGUAGGCGUUGAACCAGUAGGGGUUGAACCGGUAGGCGUUGAACCGGCGGGCAUUGAACCAGUAGGGAUUGAACCAGUAGGGGUUAAACCAACAGGGGUUAAACCAGCAGAGGUUAAACCAGCAGAGGUUAAACCAGCAGAGGUUAAACCAGCAGGGGUGGAAAAAAAUACUUUUCAAAAAAAUGUGAAGGACAGUAUGAAUGAUUAUAAGGGUGACGGCAAUGAAGAUGACGAAGAAGAAGAAGAAGAAGACGAUGACGACUAUAAUUAUAAUAAUAGUAUAAAAAGUGAUGAUAAAAAAAUAAAUUUAAAAUUAGAUAUCCAUAGAAUGUUAAAAAUGAUACAAAGAAUUUUAUCAAUUCAUAUGUAUUAUUCAUAUGAUUAUGAUUUAACUCAAUGUAUACAGAAAAAAAUGUUAAAAAAGAUAGAAGAAGAUGAAAUAAAUCCUAUGUUUUAUUCUAAGAGGUGGGGUAGUAUUAACAAGGGUGAUACAAACCAAAGUGAUACAAACAAUGAUGAUAACGGUAGUAAUAGUAGUAGCAGCUUGAGUUGUGAUAUUUACAACGACAAUUACAUUGAAAGUAGUAAUAAAAAG